GAUGAACGCUAGCGGCAGGCCUAAUACAUGCAAGUCGAACGGGAUCCAGAUCAAAGCUUGCUUUGGUUUGGUGAGAGUGGCGCACGGGUGCGUAACGCGUGAGCAACCUACCCUUGUCAGGGGGAUAGCCCGGCGAAAAUCGGAUUAAUACCGCAUGACAUCAUUGAGAGGCAUCUUUCGAUGAUCAAAGAUUUAUCGGACAAGGAUGGGCUCGCGUGACAUUAGCUAGUUGGUAAGGUAACGGCUUACCAAGGCUACGAUGUCUAGGGGCUCUGAGAGGAGAAUCCCCCACACUGGUACUGAGACACGGACCAGACUCCUACGGGAGGCAGCAGUAAGGAAUAUUGGUCAAUGGACGGAAGUCUGAACCAGCCAUGCCGCGUGCAGGAAGACGGCCCUAUGGGUUGUAAACUGCUUUUAUACGGGAACAAACGUCGGUACGUGUACCGGUCUGAGUGUACCGUAAGAAUAAGGAUCGGCUAACUCCGUG
RNAcentral lists this ribosomal RNA (490 nucleotides) under uncultured bacterium. Its description in RNAcentral is "partial 16S ribosomal RNA". It matches the Rfam family "Bacterial small subunit ribosomal RNA", at positions 28 to 507 of the family's 1533-position model. The record is from RNAcentral.